RNAcentral lists this ribosomal RNA (836 nucleotides) under Crossiella cryophila. RNAcentral's name for it is "bacterial SSU rRNA". It matches the Rfam family "Bacterial small subunit ribosomal RNA", at positions 72 to 919 of the family's 1533-position model. The record is from RNAcentral. Lineage: Bacteria; Bacillati; Actinomycetota; Actinomycetes; Pseudonocardiales; Pseudonocardiaceae.
AAGGCCCUUCGGGGUACACGAGCGGCGAACGGGUGAGUAACACGUGGGUAAUCUGCCCUGCACUCUGGGAUAAGCCUGGGAAACUGGGUCUAAUACCGGAUAUGACAACCUUGGGCAUCCAGGGUUGUGGAAAGUUCCGGCGGUGCAGGAUGGGCCCGCGGCCUAUCAGCUUGUUGGUGGGGUAAUGGCCUACCAAGGCGACGACGGGUAGCCGGCCUGAGAGGGCGACCGGCCACACUGGGACUGAGACACGGCCCAGACUCCUACGGGAGGCAGCAGUGGGGAAUAUUGCGCAAUGGGCGAAAGCCUGACGCAGCGACGCCGCGUGAGGGAUGACGGCCUUCGGGUUGUAAACCUCUUUCAGUGCCGACGAAGCGAAAGUGACGGUAGGUACAGAAGAAGCACCGGCCAACUACGUGCCAGCAGCCGCGGUAAUACGUAGGGUGCGAGCGUUGUCCGGAAUUAUUGGGCGUAAAGAGCUCGUAGGCGGUUUGUUGCGUCGGCUGUGAAAACUCGGGGCUUAACUCUGAGCUUGCAGUCGAUACGGGCAGACUUGAGUUCGGCAGGGGAGACUGGAAUUCCUGGUGUAGCGGUGAAAUGCGCAGAUAUCAGGAGGAACACCGGUGGCGAAGGCGGGUCUCUGGGCCGAUACUGACGCUGAGGAGCGAAAGCGUGGGGAGCGAACAGGAUUAGAUACCCUGGUAGUCCACGCCGUAAACGUUGGGCGCUAGGUGUGGGGGUCAUUCCACGGCCUCCGUGCCCGCAGCUAACGCAUUAAGCGCCCCGCCUGGGGAGUACGGCCGCAAGGCUAAAAACUCAAAUGAAUUUGACGGGGA